RNAcentral lists this ribosomal RNA (143 nucleotides) under uncultured eukaryote. RNAcentral describes it as "partial small subunit ribosomal RNA". It matches the Rfam family "Bacterial small subunit ribosomal RNA", at positions 1383 to 1525 of the family's 1533-position model. The record is from RNAcentral.
GUACACACCGCCCGUCAAGCCACGAAAGCGGGGAGCAUCCGAAGUUGCUGCGUGAACCGAAAGGACACAGGUGCCUAAGAUGAGCUCCGUGAUUGUGACUAAGUCGUAACAAGGUAGCCGUAGGUGAACCUGCAGAAGGAUCA